RNAcentral lists this ribosomal RNA (253 nucleotides) under uncultured bacterium. RNAcentral describes it as "partial 16S ribosomal RNA". It matches the Rfam family "Bacterial small subunit ribosomal RNA", at positions 524 to 776 of the family's 1533-position model. The record is from RNAcentral.
UACGAAGGGGGCUAGCGUUGCUCGGAAUUACUGGGCGUAAAGCGCACGUAGGCGGAUUGUUAAGUCGGGGGUGAAAUCCUGGAGCUCAACUCCAGAACUGCCUUCGAUACUGGCGAUCUCGAGUUCGGGAGAGGUGAGUGGAACUGCGAGUGUAGAGGUGAAAUUCGUAGAUAUUCGCAAGAACACCAGUGGCGAAGGCGGCUCACUGGCCCGAUACUGACGCUGAGACGCGAAAGCGUGGGGAGCAAACAGG